This 72-nucleotide transfer RNA is filed under the name Stegodyphus mimosarum. It matches the Rfam family "tRNA". From Rfam's summary of the family: Transfer RNA (tRNA) molecules are approximately 80 nucleotides in length. Their secondary structure includes four short double-helical elements and three loops (D, anti-codon, and T loops). Further hydrogen bonds mediate the characteristic L-shaped molecular structure. tRNAs have two regions of fundamental functional importance: the anti-codon, which is responsible for specific mRNA codon recognition, and the 3' end, to which the tRNAs corresponding amino acid is attached (by aminoacyl-tRNA synthetases). tRNAs cope with the degeneracy of the genetic code in two manners: having more than one tRNA (with a specific anti-codon) for a particular amino acid; and 'wobble' base-pairing, i.e. permitting non-standard base-pairing at the 3rd anti-codon position. Lineage: Eukaryota; Metazoa; Arthropoda; Arachnida; Araneae; Eresidae. The record is from Rfam by way of RNAcentral.
UUCUUCAUGGUGUAACUGGUAGCACACUAGGCUCAUAUUCGAGAGGUCCAGGUUCUAGUCCUGGCGAGGGCA